Molecule: long non-coding RNA, 1385 nt
Organism: Bos taurus (domestic cattle)
Lineage: Eukaryota; Metazoa; Chordata; Mammalia; Artiodactyla; Bovidae
Source: Ensembl
GCUAGCUCAGUGCUGGCAGUCCCUGAUCCCGGGAUUUGAUCCUGCUCUGAAUACUUCUCCAUAAAUACAGCACAUUGAUGCCACGUGCCCACACAGAUGGAUGACACAGGGCCCUGGCAGUCAGACAGAGUGCAUGCAGUAGUCAAGGCACCAGCAAGAUCACAGGAUCUGAGAUCAGCAGGAACCUUGAUGGUACCACAGAGCCUAUUUUAAACUCAGGAGACUGAGGAGCAAUUUUUGUAGUCUUGGCCAGUAUGGACCAAAAUAAAUUUAUUUCUACAGUUUGAGAACUGUUGCCUCAAAAAAAUGUUGGACUUUUUAUGAAGUUUAGGUAAAAAGGAAACAUAGAACCCAUGCCUAGAAAUCCUACUUCCAUGGGAGAAAGCCCACCAGGAAAACUGCUUGGAAAGUUUAAGGAAUGUGACUUUUAAAUUAUUAAAAAGAAAGACAAUGAAAUACAAGAAAAGUUCAGAGACAGAAGGGGUUGAUCCAAAGCCAGCAGGCUUUGUCCUGGUGAAAAACCCAGCACACAGCACACUUCCUCAUGUUGCUGGGUUUAUUCCUCCAAUGACUUCCCAUGGACUGUAGCCAGCCAGGCUCCUCUGUGCAUGGAAUUCUCCAGGCAAGAAUACUGGAGUGGGCUGCCAUUUUCUUCUCCAGAGGAUCUUCCUGACCCAGGGGUCAAACCUGUGCCUCCGGCAUUGCAGGCAGAUUCUUUACAACCCGAACCACCAGGGAAGCCAUUGCACUUUACAUGGUGCCAAUUUAAAAUUCAGUUUAAGUAAAUUUUUUCAGGUUAAGUAAUUCCUAAGACCCAAAAAGCCCCCCCUUGAUGUUAUCUGCACAGUGGUGAAUGUAGUCUGCAAGAACACCCUCUUCCCUGAAGACCUCAAGUCACCAGCCUUUACCACACGUGUCUCCCAUCACAUCCGUCCGCCGGUGUCAUGGGCUCUCUGCCCGACUCUGCACAGAACUGUUGCUGACGGCAUCUCUUCUAGGCAGGGAGUCAUUCUGUCAGCCAUCACCUAAAUUUCAACGUCCUGCCGUGUGAGUUACACCCCUUACAGACACUCUCUCUCUCCUGGGCACGAGGCUCCCUGGUUCAGAUCAUCCAUGACCCAUUUCUCUACACUCAAGGAGUUAUCUGGCCACGUUGGCUCCAGCUCUAAUGGAGUGAGUUGAGCAGUGAUGGACCCAGAGGAGAGUGGAGACAACAGGGCAUGAAGGAGAAAUAUAUUUUCAUGUUUGCUUACAAGGAACUCUAGAAGGAUCUGUAAGAAACAAAAUACUACCUGUGGAGGUCAGAUGGCCCUGGACACACAGACUAAAUGACAGGAGGCACAGAUUAGUGCAAAGUGUAUUUUCAGUAUCUGGAAUCAUGUGCC